Molecule: RNA transcript, 1458 nt
Organism: Temnothorax curvispinosus
Lineage: Eukaryota; Metazoa; Arthropoda; Insecta; Hymenoptera; Formicidae
Gene name: CD63 antigen-like
Exons: 3
Source: RefSeq, a predicted model, not a curated record
AAGAUAAAAUAUUUAUAAUAUAUUAAUUUUAUUAAUUUAUAAUUUUAUUAUAUAUAAUACAUUUCUGAGUCUUCAAAUCUUUUUCAUACUACGACAUGUAAAAUUGCAAAAUAAAACUCCGUCCUGAAUUCUGACAAGAAUUAUGGAUCAUCUAAAGAGAACUUAAACAUUGUACUCUGAUUCUCGGAUCAAGUUCGGUCUUUCGAAUUUCUCUAUAAUUUAGUCCCUGUAUAUUAAUCUUCUACGCCUUAAAUCAUUAGGCUUAAAGUCUAUGUCUGAAUUUACAUCUAAAGCUAAAAUUGUGAAAUCAAUUCGAAGACGCCUCGAGAUUAAAUCGGCCAAUAUAUAGUGACUGCGAAUUACGGAAAUAAUUGUUACUUUAUAAGCUUCAUUAGUAAAAUAGAAUGUAUUGUAAAAUUAUAUGUAUUAGCUAAUAGAAAUAAUAAUAUUAGAGAUACAUACUUAUGAUGAAAUGCGAAACGUCUUAUUGUAGCUACGUGGGAUAUGCGCAAUAACUUGGGCUACGAUAGUGUACCUUUACGAGGUCAGAUAUCUUGAUGCAUGGACGAAGGGCGUCGCGAUUUCGUUGGAGACGCUUAUCGCUAUCGGCGGCGUCCUCAUUAUUUUCGCCCUUUGCAGUGGCGGAUACGGCAUACUGUUUUUCGACAGUGCCAAAUUCAGAAAUCGAUGCACCUAUAUUUCCCGCACGACUGUUACGGUGAGCUUUUCCGCGUAUUAUCCAACGUUAACUUUUUACGCGACACGAAGUUUAAUUCUUUCGCUCUUAUCAGUCUUAUCGCGUGAGAACGAGCUUGUUCGGUCGAUUCCUUACAAUACGCGAUAUUCGUAUCUGCUAUAGAUUCGCGGAAGGUUUAGACAGCGGUGGUUUAAUAUCGUAGUUUUAUUAACUGAAAAGUUGAUUGAAGCGAUUAACGGCGCUGCUUCCGGCAGUUCACAUCUCUAUUCUUGAUUAUGCUGAUUGUACAAUCAGCCGUCGCAAUCUACAUGCUUGUCCUGGUACCGAGGGCCGCUACCGAUUUUAAAGAAGCCUUCAAGAAUUACGGUUACCGAUGUGAGGACACGAAGUUCGUAGAUGAUAUUCAGGACAGAGCAGUUGCUGCAAUAAUUCUUGGGGAGUGUGUACUGCGGAGGAUGUAGGAUUUAGACCCGGUUGCGCAUUUAGACUAAAUACUUCUAGAUUGAUACACCAAGUCUACCUAAUGAGCAUUUUCAUCUUGACUGUCACUGUAACUGUGUUGAUCGGUUUCCUCUUCACAUUGUAUCUGACGAAUUCUAUAAAGGAAAAAAAUGCAGUGAAGCGUCAAGAGACAUACACGUUAUUACACGGGAAUAAUGCUAACAAAAUAUUUCCAGCCAGCUCUUAAUGUUUUUCAAUUCUUUCAGGAGGUAUCUAACGCAGAGUUUGAAGUAGGAAAAAUAAAUAUUAUCGAACUUUUA